This is a long non-coding RNA of Daphnia magna, 693 nucleotides long. RefSeq lists it as uncharacterized. The record is from RefSeq and is a predicted model, not a curated record. Lineage: Eukaryota; Metazoa; Arthropoda; Branchiopoda; Diplostraca; Daphniidae. The transcript is spliced from 2 exons.
AUCUUCUUGGUUCCGUGCAGGUGAAAAGAUUCCGUCUCUGUCACUUUCUACAUCUUCAGAAUCGCUAGCCACCGAACUGGGUGACCAGUCUUCGCACAGCGUUCCCAGCUGCACACCUGGCCAUUCUGUUCGUUCAAUUUUGAAGUUGUACAACGUCCCGUGUGUUAGUUGCUUCCGUGACAAUGAAACGAAAAGAACAAACAAAACAGAAAAAAACAAUUGAAAACAUACCUCGCUUAAAAGAUGAAGCGCCGUAGUCUGAAAAUUGACCGCUAGAUGGCGCAAGCGACGAUUCUGGACAUUUGCCACCAACGAUGCCGUCGUCGUUGGUCUCGUCGGAUGCCUCCUCUUUGAGCUCUUCUAAGGAGGAGAGGUGGUUUCCCCAGGGUCAUUGUUGGAUAAUAGCAAAACCAAUCUCUGCAUUGUAGAAAAUCGGGAAAUUAAGAAACGUCAACUUUCCUUGUAUGCCAGUAAAGGCUUAUAUUGCGUCCCGCCCGUCUAUCUGAGGAAUCUUAUCCUGGCCGUGGGCAACAAGCUGCAAUGGAGUGAAUCAGUUUUGCCAGUGUUCCUUCCUUAUCUUUCAAGUAUGCCUUUCACUAGUUCUUGAUUAUGUUUAAAUUAUUAGUCGUCUUCGUUAAAUGUUCUUCUUCCAAUUGAAAACAUUUGGCGAAAAUAAACAAGUCAUACUGGUUA